This 74-nucleotide ribozyme is filed under the name unclassified sequences. Its description in RNAcentral is "HDV ribozyme from F. prausnitzii". It matches the Rfam family "HDV ribozyme from F. prausnitzii". The record is from RNAcentral.
GCUGCUCGAAUGAAUCACACACCUCUCCGUGGUGAACAGCAGGCAACGAUCUUAUGGUCGGCGAAGAUGUGGUU